Ochotona princeps (American pika) is the source of this 135-nucleotide ribosomal RNA. NCBI's taxonomy places the organism in Eukaryota, Metazoa, Chordata, Mammalia, Lagomorpha, Ochotonidae. The record is from Ensembl.
UACGGCCAUACCACCCUGAACGCGCCCAAUCUCGUCUGAUCUCGGAAGCUAAGCAGGGUCGGGCCUGGUUAGUGCUUGGAUGGGAGGUCUGCUUUCUUAACACAGUGAGGCCCCAUGCCAACCUUGGCAGCCUUA